RNAcentral lists this long non-coding RNA (1660 nucleotides) under Oncorhynchus mykiss (rainbow trout). RNAcentral describes it as "lncRNA (ENSOMYG00000077045.1)". Lineage: Eukaryota; Metazoa; Chordata; Actinopteri; Salmoniformes; Salmonidae. The record is from RNAcentral.
AUGUGUAUCCAAACUAACACCAACACCCCAAUCUCUUCCUCCAACUGUCUGUCUUCUCGUUCUGCUUUCCCCUUGUCCCCCUCUCUCACUCUAAGCUUCUCUCUCUCUCUCUGCCUCUCUCACUUUGCCUUCCUCCCUCACUCUCUCUGCCUCUCUCUUUCUUUCUCUCCCGCUCAAACCCUGCCGGUGGCCAGAUCACCAAACUACUCCACUCAACCACUCCAUUCGAUUUCAAUCAGACGCAUUUUACAAUGUCGUAAAAGUGUGUGUGUGUGUAUGUGUGUGUGCCAUCACAUAAAAGCCCACUUCAAAAGAACUAAAAGUGUCUGGAGUCAGAUUACUACACCUAUCGUAUCUACCAUGUUUGGCGGGUCCUCACAACCCUUCCCACUGUUGGCUUCUGGUCUUGGGACAUCUCUGAACCAUGGAUAGAGGAAGACAUUGGAAUGGAUUGGCUGAGAAAUGCAGGAAAAUGGAGCUGCGGGUAGACAGAUGUCCCAAAAGGCACCCUAUUCCCUACUUUUGACGUGCACUUUAAAGUGAAUAAGGAGUCACUUGGAACACAGACAUAAACUCAUCAAAGGUUUUCUCACAGACGUCAUGAUGGAUUUUCUGGAGGUCUGGACGAGUGAAAGUGCCCCCAUGCCAACUAACAAAUAGACAAAUCCAACUCCCUCUCUCACUCACUAACACACACACACACACACACACACACACACACACACACACACACACACACACACACACACACACACACACACACACACACACACACACACACACACACACACACACACACACACACACACACACACACACACACACUGCUGUCAGCUAGAACCAGGCUUGGUUAGAUGAAACCAGGAAACCAAAAGGGUUUCAUAUGUUCCUAUAAUUUAGAUCACCUUAGUCGGCCAGAUCAAUGUCUCCGUCUUGGCCUUGUUCGGUCGUUCCCACUCUGUCCUUCACUUUGUUCUGUGAGAGAUUUGGAGGAAUGAAUCUGGAUGGUGAAACCCAUUCUUUUGAUGCAUCAUGAGAAAUAGAGUAGAAUAAAUGUUGUAAUGGAUCUGGAAUGGUCCUGUAUGUUCCGACUGGAAUGUUGUGCUUCUACACGUUACUAUGCUUGAUUGGAUACUUGCUAGUGUUACGGAAAAUAAGGUGAACUUGACAUUUGGCUGAACUAGUCCUUCAUGAUGCAUGUCGGUAUGUGUCACGCAUAUUCUAAAUGAAUGAAUACAGUCUCCCUGUUUCUUAUCUGAGCGACACAGAUGGAUGCAGGGGAUCAGUGGAAGAGACGUUUUCUGUAGUCUCUUCUCCCCACCUGCUGAGUCUGACACCCAAUCCAUUAACACUUGAGUUUGGCAAAGCGAGACUACUUUCUCUCUGCACUUACUUACAACAGUUAACUCCACAUUCUGAGCAGAAGGAGAUCGCCCCUGGAUCCCCUGAGUCUGUCACUCACCGACCCAGCUGGAGGCUUUUACAGUAUCCCAGACUCACCCACACUACACCCGUAUCCAAAACGAUAGGACCCUUUUAUCCCUGCCACCCUUGCUCCCGUACCAACAAGCGCUCGCCGCCUCUGUCCUAAAACCAUGUGUGACAUGUCACUACCCAGAGCCACUACCCAGAGCCACUACCCAGAGCCACUACCCAGAGC